GAUUGAGUUUGAUCCUGGCUCAGGACGAACGCUGGCGGCGCGCUUAACACAUGCAAGUCGUACGGAGUCACUCCUUCGGGGGUGGCUCAGUGGCGAACGGGUGCGUAACACGUGAGCAACCUGCCUUGGGGUGGGGGAUAACCCGUGGAAACGCGGGCUAAUACCGCAUGACCUCAUCGAACGGAGUCGUUUGAUGAGGAAAGGUGCUUAACGGCACUGCCUUGAGAGGGGCUCGCGGCGUAUCAGCUAGAUGGUGGGGUAACGGCCUACCAUGGCGACGACGCGUAGCCGAUCUGAGAGGAUGAUCGGCCACAUUGGGACUGAGAUACGGCCCAGACUCCUACGGGAGGCAGCAGUGGGGAAUCUUGCGCAAUGGGCGAAAGCCUGACGCAGCGACGCCGCGUGGGGGAGGAAGCCCUUCGGGGUGUAAACCCCUGUCAGGAGGGAAGAACGGCCACCCGAGGAAAUGCGGGUGGAUUGACGGUACCUCCAAAGGAAGCACCGGCUAACUCUGUGCCAGCAGCCGCGGUAAAU
Molecule: ribosomal RNA, 534 nt
Filed under: uncultured bacterium
Lineage: Bacteria
Description: bacterial SSU rRNA
Rfam family: Bacterial small subunit ribosomal RNA
Source: RNAcentral